GAUGAACGCUGGCGGCGUGCCUAACACAUGCCAGUCGAGCGGAAAGGCCCAGCUUGCGUCGGGUGCCAGAGUGGCAAAGGGGUGAGAAACACGGGAGUAACCUGCCCUUGACUGUGGAAUGACUUGAGAAAACUGGGGAUAAUGCCGGAUAGGAGCGCCUGCAGCAUGGGGGGGGUUGGAAAGUUUCGGAGGUUGGGGAUGGACUCGCGGCUUAUCAGCUUGUUGGGUGGGUAGUGGCCAACCAAGGCUUCGACGGGUAGCCGGCCUGGGAGGGGGAACGGCGACAAUGGGACUGAGAGACGCACCAGACUCCAACGGGAGGCAGUGGUGGAGAAUAUUGCACAACGAGCGGAAGCGUGAUGCGACGACGCCGCGUGCGGGAAGACGGCCUUCGUGUUGUGAAGCGCAGUCGGCUGUGACGAAGCGUUAGUGACGGUACUGGGUGAAGAAGCACCGGCUAACUACGUG
Molecule: ribosomal RNA, 468 nt
Filed under: uncultured bacterium
Lineage: Bacteria
Description: partial 16S ribosomal RNA
Rfam family: Bacterial small subunit ribosomal RNA
Source: RNAcentral